AAUUCUCAACCUUCUCGGUUUCUUUGACCGGGCAAGGCUUGGACUUUGGAGGCUUCUGCUGGCACACCUCUCUCCUGGAAGCCAGCUCCUCUCAAAUGGAUUAGUGGGGUCCUCUUUGCCAAACCUCCUUGGCGUGAUAAGAUCUUUCUACGUCGAAGGGCGAAGGCGAAGGUGAAUCUAGCCCCUGCUCCUAACUGUCUCAUUGAGACAAUGUUCGCA
This 219-nucleotide unclassified non-coding RNA is filed under the name uncultured Multifurca. RNAcentral describes it as "sequence contains ITS2". Lineage: Eukaryota; Fungi; Basidiomycota; Agaricomycetes; Russulales; Russulaceae. The record is from RNAcentral.